CGUGUAGGCGGCUAGGCAAGUCAGAUGUGAAAUCCCUUGGCUCAACCAAGGAAGUGCAUUUGAAACUGCUUAACUAGAGUACAGGAGGGGAAAGUGGAAUUCCCAGUGUAGAGGUGAAAUUCAUAGAUAUUGGGAGGAACACCGGUAGCGAAGGCGGCUUUCUGGCCUGAUACUGACGCUGAGACGCGAAAGCGUGGGGAGCGAACAGGAUUAGAUACCCUGGUAGUC
RNAcentral lists this ribosomal RNA (228 nucleotides) under uncultured bacterium. Its description in RNAcentral is "partial 16S ribosomal RNA". It matches the Rfam family "Bacterial small subunit ribosomal RNA", at positions 568 to 795 of the family's 1533-position model. The record is from RNAcentral.